UUUCUAUGCUUUGUUACAUUUUGCAGUCCCAACUCUUUUAAAUAUAUAGUCCAAUUCUAUAAGAUAGUUAUUUACCUAAUUUGUCAUUUCUUAUUCAUUGAUACUUGUUCUUUCAAAUAUGUUUCAAGUUUUGUAAUGACUAGUGAAGUAAGUUCAAAGAACAAGAUCCACAGAUUGAGUAGUUUGUUAGUUUUUUCUGCUGGUCAAAAAUUGAAGUUGUGGAACAUUUCUUUUUGAUGAAUUAGACCUCUUCCCCUUGUCCCUGAUUUGGAGAUAUCAGAGAAGUCUGUUGAACAGGCAGCUGAUGUGAUUCGAGCAUGGGUUAAUCAUGCAUUGGCACUUGCUCAUGAGAUUGCCAUUUGUGGGAAUCUGAGGAUUCUUCUUCAGGUUGCUGCAUUGUUGUGGUUUAUUUCCUCUAUUGGUAGCUUGUGCAAUUUCAUCACAUUUGUCUACAUUGGAGUGCUUCUUGCUCUAUCAAUUCCAGUGUUGUAUGAUAAUUACCAGAGCCAGAUUGAUGUUCCUAAUGGUUUUAGGUGAGUGUUUUUAUGAAGAAGGCAAUACUGUAAGAGUUAUCUUUAAGUUAGUUUCUUCUUUUAUUAAAGCAGUUC
Amaranthus tricolor (Joseph's coat) is the source of this 608-nucleotide long non-coding RNA. RefSeq lists it as uncharacterized. The record is from RefSeq and is a predicted model, not a curated record. The transcript is spliced from 3 exons. Lineage: Eukaryota; Viridiplantae; Streptophyta; Magnoliopsida; Caryophyllales; Amaranthaceae.